This 65-nucleotide transfer RNA is filed under the name Bothrops insularis (golden lancehead). RNAcentral describes it as "tRNA-Pro". The record is from RNAcentral. Lineage: Eukaryota; Metazoa; Chordata; Lepidosauria; Squamata; Viperidae. RNAcentral also lists the same sequence under 1 other name.
CAGAGAGUAGUUUAAUUAGUAAAAUGCUGGCUUUGGGGGCCAGGGAUGGUGUGACCCCUCUUUGA